GCGGAAAACUGUUCCCUCUCUCCCUCCCUUCUCUCUCUCUCUCUCUCUGCCUGUGUCUCUCACUCUGUCUGUCUCUCUCUCUCUCACCCAUCACUCUCACUGUCUCUCUCGCUCCCUUUUUCUGUAAAGUCCAGUACAUUCCCAUCCAAUGGACACCAACAGGAGCACAAUGUCUUCUUUGGGAUUAGAAGGUAAGGGCAAGAAAGAGAAUGGAAAGAGAGAGAAACGAAAGAGCGAUGGAACGGCGACUGGAAGCUAAAUCCAUCACCUGCAUUUACAAAAUAGGACAGGAAGGUGAACAUAAGAAAACUCAGAGAGAGAGAGAGCGACAGAGAGAGAAAGAGAGAGAGAGCGACAGAGAGAGAGAGAGAGAGAGAGAGAGAGAGAGAAAGUUAGUGAGGAGGGAUUAGAAGGUGUGAUGGAAUAGGACGUUGCGUUUGUCACGCAGAAGACAGGCACUCGAGGACAUGAGGACACACUCCAAUAGUGGAGAGUCCAAUGCAAGGGUGUGUAAAGGUGUGAUCAACGUUCUAUCCACAAACAUGGCUAUGGACGCCAAUUUAUGAGCCACAGUCUCACAUCUCUGCAACCUCUGAUGAUCUUUUGCAUUUGUUUAGACCCCCUCUGA
Molecule: long non-coding RNA, 628 nt
Organism: Ictalurus punctatus (channel catfish)
Lineage: Eukaryota; Metazoa; Chordata; Actinopteri; Siluriformes; Ictaluridae
Source: Ensembl